UGUAGCAUCUCUUAUUACAGGUACACCCUGCCCAGUGUUAUUAUCAACGGCCGCGGUACCCUGACCGUGCAAAGGUAGCAUAAUAAUUUGCCUUUUAAUUGAAGGCUAGUAUGAAGGGGCAAACGAGAACAAGACUGUCUCACUUAUACUCAUAAAAAUUUAUCUUUAGGUGAAGAAGCCUAAAUCUAUAUAAAAGACAAGAAGACCCCGUCGAGCUUUAGCUUAAUAUGCGACUCCUUAAACCUACUAUAUCUCUCCCCGCAUAAAAGCUUUUGUUGGGGCGACAACGGAACCUACUAAUCUUCCGCCACACUUCAGACCCUACGUCACUCAAAUGAUCCUUUACUGAUCAUAAGAACAAGCUACCGCAGGGAUAACAGACUAAUCUUCCUCCGGAGCCCAAAUCUACAGGAAGGCUUGGCACCUCGAUGUUGGCUUAGGAAAAUCCCCUAGAUGAAGCAGUCUAGGAAGUGGGUUUGUUCAACCCUUAAUAUCCUACG
RNAcentral lists this ribosomal RNA (500 nucleotides) under Marphysa sp. C HA-2019. Its description in RNAcentral is "partial 16S ribosomal RNA". It matches the Rfam family "Bacterial large subunit ribosomal RNA", at positions 1832 to 2600 of the family's 2925-position model. Lineage: Eukaryota; Metazoa; Annelida; Polychaeta; Eunicida; Eunicidae. The record is from RNAcentral.